RNAcentral lists this ribosomal RNA (164 nucleotides) under uncultured bacterium. RNAcentral's name for it is "partial 16S ribosomal RNA". It matches the Rfam family "Bacterial small subunit ribosomal RNA", at positions 355 to 511 of the family's 1533-position model. The record is from RNAcentral.
UAGGGAAUCUUCCACAAUGGGCGCAAGCCUGAUGGAGCAACACCGCGUGAGUGAAGAAGGGUUUCGGCUCGUAAAGCUCUGUUGUUAAAGAAGAACACGUAUGAGAGUAACUGUUCAUACGUUGACGGUAUUUAACCAGAAAAUCACGGCUAACUACGUGCCAG